This 493-nucleotide ribosomal RNA is filed under the name uncultured bacterium. Its description in RNAcentral is "bacterial SSU rRNA". It matches the Rfam family "Bacterial small subunit ribosomal RNA", at positions 28 to 507 of the family's 1533-position model. The record is from RNAcentral.
GAUGAACGCUAGCGGCAGGCUUAAUACAUGCAAGUUGAGGGGCAGCAUGAUAUACGCGAGUAUAUUGAUGGCGACCGGCGGACGGGUGAGUAAUAGGUAGGAGACCUACCUCAUACAGGGGGAUAGCAUAGAGAAAUCUGUGGUAAUACCCCAUGAGGUUAUAUGAAUAGAGGCAUAUAAUCAAAGCAUAAGCGAUUAUGCGGUAUGAGAGGGGCCUACUGACCAUUAGCUAGUUGGUGAGGUAAGGGCUCACCAAGGCGAAGAUGGUUAGGGGUUUUGAGAGAGAGACCCCCCACAUUGGAACUGAGAGACGGUCCAGACUCCUACGGGAGCAGCAGUAGGGAAUAUUGGGCAUGGGCGAAAGCCUGACCCAGCCAUGCCGCGUGAAGGAGACGGCCUUAUGGGUUGUAAACUUCUUUACUACGCGAAUAGAGGUUAGUACGAGAUACUAAUAGGAAGGUAGUGUAGUAAAAAGCAACCGGCUAACUCCGUG